RNAcentral lists this ribosomal RNA (241 nucleotides) under uncultured bacterium. RNAcentral describes it as "partial 16S ribosomal RNA". It matches the Rfam family "Bacterial small subunit ribosomal RNA", at positions 536 to 776 of the family's 1533-position model. The record is from RNAcentral.
AAGCGUUAUCCGGAAUUAUUGGGCGUAAAGCGUCCGCAGGUGGACAUACAAGUCUGCUGUCAAAGUGCAGAGCUUAACUCUGUAAAGGCGGUGGAAACUGUAGGUCUUGAGUAUGGUAGGGGUAGAGGGAAUUCCCGGUGUAGCGGUGAAAUGCGUAGAUAUCGGGAAGAACACCAGUGGCGAAAGCGCUCUACUGGGCCAUAACUGACACUGAGGGACGAAAGCUAGGGGAGCGAAAGGG